GUCAAUAUGUCCGAGUGGUUAAGGAGAUAGACUCGAAAUCUUGGGCUUUGCCUGCGCAGGUUCAAAUCCUGCUGUUGACG
This 80-nucleotide transfer RNA is filed under the name Ipomoea nil (Japanese morning glory). It matches the Rfam family "tRNA". Rfam says of the family: Transfer RNA (tRNA) molecules are approximately 80 nucleotides in length. Their secondary structure includes four short double-helical elements and three loops (D, anti-codon, and T loops). Lineage: Eukaryota; Viridiplantae; Streptophyta; Magnoliopsida; Solanales; Convolvulaceae. The record is from Rfam by way of RNAcentral.